Molecule: long non-coding RNA, 24577 nt
Filed under: Prunus persica (peach)
Lineage: Eukaryota; Viridiplantae; Streptophyta; Magnoliopsida; Rosales; Rosaceae
Description: long non-coding RNA (PPER_LNC003619)
Source: RNAcentral
UGCACAUGCAGCUAAAAUCACUUUCACAAACAAAUGUUCCUACACUGUCUGGCCAGGAACCCUAACCGGUGACCAAAAACCUCAAUUAUCACUCACUGGGUUCGAGUUAGCAACCGGAAUUAGCCGCUCUGUGGACGCUCCGUCCCCAUGGUCCGGUCGCUUCUUUGGCCGAACCAGGUGCUCCACGGACGCAUCAGGAAAGUUCACUUGUGCCACCGCAGAUUGUGGUUCUGGCCAAGUCUCAUGCAACGGUAACGGCGCAGCUCCGCCAGCUACAUUAGUAGAAAUCACUAUUGCUUCGAACGGGGGUCAAGACUUCUACGACGUUAGUCUUGUUGACGGCUUCAACUUGCCCAUGUCCGUGGCUCCACAAGGCGGCACCGGCGACUGUAAGGCGUCAACUUGCCCUGCCGAUAUUAACAAAGUGUGCCCGGCUCCGUUACAAGUGAAGGGAUCUGAUGGAAGCGUAAUUGCGUGCAAGAGCGCUUGCUUAGCAUUCAACCAGCCAAAAUACUGUUGCACUCCACCUAACGACAAGCCGGAGACAUGCCCUCCCACUGAUUACUCUAAGCUCUUCAAGACCCAGUGCCCUCAAGCUUAUAGCUAUGCUUAUGAUGACAAGAGCAGCACCUUCACAUGCAGUGGUAGACCUGACUACCUCAUCACAUUCUGCCCAUAAGCAUAUAUAUAUAUAUAGAAUGGGAUCUUAUAUGAUAUGAUAUUAUACAUAUAGUUCCCAAUAAAUAAAUUUCCUGGAUCUUGACACAUUGUUGAUGUCAAGAAUUUGUAAUGCAGACGAUCAAAUAACGUAAAUGUUUGGAUUUUAUUUUCGUUCAUGGCUUUCAAAUUUUUGUUUCCUUCAUUUCUUUAUAUGAUGCAUUAUUUCCAGCAACAAAACAUGAGCAUAAUAUAAAGAGAGUUAGCUGCAAUUGAAAUGGUUAUCAAACGGGAGUUUAAAUACGGAUUGUAAUUUUCUGUCAUGCCUGGUGUUGAUGCGAAAAAGUGGUUUGAUACGUAAUUCGUCAACUUAGUCAAAAUGUCCCUUCGGUAGGUCCCCGUCCUUGGUAAGUGGUCCACUCCAGAGGGUCAAGUACCUGCAAAAGGACGCGUUCGGUAAAUCCUUGGGGUACCGGUGCGGUACCGGCCGAAGGCUCUCCGAUGCCUAAAUGAGUACGGAUUUAGUAAGGUUAACUGACAGAUCACACGAUAGCGUACCGUUAGUUCUUCUUCUUCCCUUUUGGGGAUAUGGGUCUCCUUAUAUAGACCUUGGGAGGUGUGCUUUGUGCUCAUUUUUCCGAUGUGGGACUCCAAGCAUGGAUUGUGAACAUGACACGUGUCUGUUGGUAAAAAGGGCCAAGAUAUAUAGCUUCGGUAGUGAGCAUGCCGUAGGGGCCCUGUGAUCAGAGUGGAUCCUGUCCACGUGUCCGGUGGAAAUAGGCCGUUUAAUUAGGUAUAAACAGUAGUCCCUCAAGUUCUCUUUCGAAGGUUCUUCGGAAGGGAAUUUGGUUUUCCUUGGUAGUUCGGAGGUUCUCCUGCCGUUCGGCAUGCUCAUUUGGGGGGAGGAAAGGCGCUUGAGUUGUUCCUUUCGGAAAGUAGUGUUCUGGGAAAAUCGGUCGGGGACUUGAAGGGUCGCCAAUGUUGAGAGGCGAGAGGGCAGAGAGACGCUUCGUCUUCCGUGCCUGGCGCGCAGAUAGAGGCGCCAUUUGCCGGGUGACGCGUGGCCAGCAAUAACACGCCUGUUGGUGCAUUAAUGAGCCGUUUCGUCUCCCGAGGCGUACCGUUACAGUUCUCCCUCUAUAAAUAGAGGUUGCUCUGUAUGAAAAAAUUCACUUUGCAAUUGUGAGUUUGCGCGAGAGCUCUUGAGUAGGCGAUUUUUGAAGUGUGCGAACGGCAAGCAAGGCGAUUUUCGAAGCGUGCGAACGGUAAGCUAGGCGAUUUUCGAAGCGUGCGAACGGCAAGCUAGGCGAUUUUCAUAGCACUCAAGGUAAGAUACCGUUCGGUACCCCUGAAUUUUGUUAUACUUCUGUAUAUGGCAUAGGCUCGCCGAUCGUUAAGUAGGAUCUUCCUUCGGUAGUCUAGUGGCCAUAGGUAGAGAAGUAGGUAUCUGUAGGAUAGCGCAGCACGCACCUUAGUUUUUCCCUUUUUCUUGUUUUGUAGAUGUCCGAUAGCGAGUCACCGUUCGGCGAUGAGCCCAACGCUUUCGACGGGGAGCUAUCUUCCGGCUGGGGUACGUCCAGCGAGGCCGUGAGCCUCGGCGCCGAGGGCGGGGAAGACUCCGAUGCCGAGCUAUUCGGUGAGGAGGCGGAUUCCAUUCCCACCCACGGCAUCGGUAAGGGGUUCAUGACGGGGCACCCGUUACCCCUGGUCGCGGUGUACAGGGACGGUACCCGUGUCGUGCCGUCUGAGCACCAGCCAGAGGCUUCCACCUCCGGCAAUGAUGAGUGUGUUGCCGGUCCCUCUCGGCCGAGAGUUACGAUCGUCCACCGAGAGCGGUAUAGGAUACCGGUGGGCAUACCGCAGAAGACCCUGUUCGGGGUUGAUUAUUUGGGGCCGAACAAACUUACCGAACGGGAGCUUCAAAAGAUUAGGGCCGAAUACCUCAUUCCUGACUCGGUGAAGAUGAGGGUCCCGAGCCCGGUCGAGUCCCUCAGCGACCCUGGGGAUGGUGAAGUCGUCUUCUUCACCGAUAUGCUGGUGCAGGGGGUCAGGUUGCCGUUGCAGCCUGCCGUUCAGAAGUUACUUGCCCAGAUUGGGUAUGCCCCGGGCCAAUAUAACCCCAACUUUUGGGUGGCCCUGAUGGGGGUGAUAACGGCCUUUGGGAUUGCCGGGGAGGGGGAGCCUUCCUACGAGCAAUUCUCCUACCUCUACAGCGUCACUAAGUCGAAGAGUGCCGACCAUGGUGGCUGGGUUCAGGCGAACUGCCUGAAGGCUUCCGAGCGAGGUCACUUCGUCAGCUCGGUGCCGACUUCCCAGAAGUCGUGGAGGAAUCGGCGGGUGCUACUCUCUGGCCAAUGGGAAUCGCCAUCAGGAGUACGCCCGCAGUCCCCAGUACCAACGACUUUCCAAACCGCCGGUAGGUCCCUAGUUACCGAUCGGCAGGUCCCUAGUUGCCUUUCUGUUUUCUUUUUAUAUUUGCUCACUCAUUCUUUAUUCGGACAGGCAAACUCAAGCAGCCGACUCCUACACAAGACGAGAUUCGGCAGAUCGACAGGGUGAGGCUGAAGGUCCCUGCCGCCGAGCGAGUGUACCCGCGCUUCCUUUUCACCAAUAAUCUCAUCAGAGCCGGGCUCGUCGACCCUGCCGAGAGUAAGUGUACUUGUUGCGCUUUUCUUCCUCUUCUCUUUUUUUGUGUGCUUGCCGACUGACUGAUUGUUUUUGGCCAGUGACGGACGCAAGGAGGGCUGCCGAGGCCAAGAAGAUGAACGAAUCUUCCAGGAGGCGCCUCAUGAUGGGCCUCGAGGGCAAGAAGAAAAAGAAGCAGCUCGAGGCCCCUGCCGUUCGGUCGUCGACGGACCCCGAGGAGGUGACCCUCGCUGAGCGUAUGCGGCAGUUGGGCGCUGAGCCUGUCGCAAGGCCGGCUGUCGAUCCCCAUGCGCCGAGGCAUGCCGUCGCCGAUGCCGUCGCCUCAAGGGCUGCCGGGAAGCGGCCGAUAACGGUGGAUUUGGAAACUUCUCCGGCGUCCAAGCGAAGCCGUCCGUCAGACGCUUCCAGGGCCGUCUUUGCGGCGGAGGACGAGGAUGGGCCUACCGAGGCCGUCACUCUCGCCUGCCCCUCGAAGACGGUGCAAUUCGUCAACCAUAUGAUCCUCGGUUCUCAGAUGGAGCUGCCGGAGGUUGACGAGUUGCCGAAGAAGGUUCUUCGGGAGCAGGCUGGACGCGCCUUCCGACUGCAAGCAGCAGUAAGAAUUUAUCUCCCGGUGUUGUCCUUUCAUUAUUUUUUUUUCGGUGCCAAGUGGGGCUUCAAACUAUCUUCCUCGUGUGCAGGCGUCCAUGGAGAUGUGGCUGUGUGUCAAGCGGGCCAUCUCCGCUGCCGAACGGGCAAAAAAGGACUAUGACGACGGCAGGGCUAAGGUUGCCGAGGCUGGAAAGGCUAUCCAGGACCACGCCCAGCUGCUAAAGGAGAAAGAGGCUGCCGAACGGCGGGCUCUCACUUCGGAGGCGACGGUGGGCGAGAUGCGGGCCGAUCUGGAGGCAGCGCGGGCGGCUCUGGAGGCAGCGCGGAUGGCAGCGCGUGAUGCCGAGGCCGUCUCGGAGGCGGUUCAGGACGCUCUGCAGGAGUCCGAGCGGACCAAGGCUGCGGAGGUUGAGGCUGCCAUUCAAACGGCAAUCCAGGGAUACCGUUCUUCCGAGGAGUUCACUGUCCUCCUGGACAGGGAAGUUGGCUCCGAGAUGGCGGGUAUGUUGUACCGAUUCAAGCGGUACAACCCUGGUCAGAAGCUGAACCUCAACUUCGCUGCCGAUCCCCCUCCCCUUCCCGAGGGAAUAACUGAGGAGAUGAUCGAAGACUACGAGGGGGAGGAUGCUGCUGCUGACGAAGCCUGAGGGCCUCUGUAAUAGUUUUAGCCUGUCUUAUUUUUAUUGUUAUUUUGUAUCUGUACCGAACGCCUUGAUGCCGAGGGCAUCUUUAAAUUAGAUGUGCAUAUUUUGUCUAUUUUUGUCUUUUCGAUUUGAUUUUGUUUUAUCGCCGAUAGGAUUUAUAACGUUAUAGAAGUAGCUUUCGAAAUUGUCAAGUUUCGAUGGAAUCUGUAGGGUGACAAUUUCGAAAAUACCUCCUGCCGUAGGUUAGUAAAGAUGCCCCAGAACGUUAUCUUGCUUAUAUUGGCAGCCGUAGGCUAGUAGAGACUGUAACAAGAGUUUCUGAAGCAAUAGUGCCGAAGGCUUUCUAUUUAUCUUUGCCGAAAGGCAUUUACAAUUUUGUCCUACCGUAGGCUAGGUUGCAACUCUGUCCUGCCGUAGGCUAGGUUACUUGAAAUAGUACUUGAGAUGUUCCACGUUCCAAGGAUGACCGAGGGUCUUGCCGUUGGAGUCUCUUAGGCGGUAGGUUCCCGAUCGAAGGAUACCGAUGAUCUCGUAAGGUCCUUCCCAGGAAGGUCCGAGGGUUCCUUCCGUGGCAUCCUUAGUUGCUAGGGACACCUUCCUCAUGACCUAAUCACCGGCUCGGAAUGAACGGUGUCUGAUUCUGGAGUCGUAAUACCGAGAGACGCGUUGCUUGUAGGCUUCGUUUCGAAGGUUGGCAUGUGCUCGGUGCUCUUCCAGGAGGUCGAGGCUUAGAGAAAGUGCUGCUUCAUUUGGCUCUGGUGCGAAGGUUUCCGUUCGGUAGGAAGGUUCGCCAAUUUCUACCGGCACAACGGCUUCCGAACCGAAAGCCAAAGAGAAAGGGGUUUCUCCUGUGGACGUUCGGUAAGAGGUCCGAAUGGCCCAGAGCGCUUCGGGAAGCUUUUCUGGCCAGGCUCCUUUGGCUUUGUCCAGCUGCCGUUUUAGCAGUUUCUUGAUGAUUUUGUUUAUCGCUUCUACCUGACCGUUCGACUGGGGAUGGGCCGGUGAUGCGAAAAACAAGUUGAUCUUCAGGCGGGUGCAAAAGUGCCUGAAGAGUUCCGAAUCGAACUGCCUGCCGUUGUCGGUGAUGAUUGCGUACGGGAUACCGAAACGGCAACAAAUGUGAGUCCAGACGAAGUCCUCUACUCUUGCUGCCGUUAUGGUUGCAAGAGGUUCGGCCUCCACCCAUUUGGUGAAGUAGUCGACGGCAACCACAGCGUAUUUCACCUGGCCUUUACCUUGUGGCAUCGGACCGAUCAGGUCUAGCCCCCACUGUGCGAAAGGCCAAGGACUCACGAUCGGUGUCAAGGGUUCGGCGGGGAUAUGCUGUAUGUUGCCGAAACGCUGACAUUUAUCGCAUUUCUUCACAAGUGAAUUGGCGUCCUGGUGCAUGGUCGGCCAGAAGUAUCCCUGCCGAAAGGCUUUGUGUGCGAGUGACCGGGACCCAGAGUGAUCGCCGCAAACACCAUUGUGGAUUUCCCGGAGAACGUAGCUCCCCUGCUCUGCCGUAAGGCACUUGAGAUACGGAGUCGUGUAGCCACGUUUGUAAAGGACGUCGUUGAUGACGGUGUACCUUGCCGAUCGGUAUCUAAGCUUUCGGGCCUGGGCCUUGUCCUCUGGAAGGGUGCCGUUGGUUAGGUAUGAGUAGAUAGGGGACAUCCACGUAUCCUCGUACCGUACGGUACAUAUUUCGGAGGUUGCCGUGCUUGGUUGGGCAAGAAUUUCCACCGGCACCUUUCUUCCGAUUUUGUCAUUGAUUGCCGAGGCUAGUCGCGCUAAAGCAUCGGCAUGACUGUUUUCGCUCCUGGGGAUCUGUUUGAUCUCAUAGGCUCGGAAGCUCUGGAGCAGCUGGUGGGUGGACGAAAGGUAGGCGUUCAUGGAGGCGUCUCUGGCGGCGAAGUCCGCCGUUACCUGGUUCACAAUGAGUUGGGAGUCACUGUGUAUCUUGAUCUGUUUUGCGUUCAUGCUCUUGGCUAAACGAAGGCCGGCCAAGAGAGCCUCAUAUUCUGCUUCAUUGUUGGAGGUUCGGAAGUUGAAUCGGAGGGCGUACUCGAUCUUGAGUCCCUCCGGUGUUGUCAGAACCAACCCUGCUCCACACCCCUGUUGGUUUGCCGAGCCGUCGACAUGCAGAGUCCAUACAGGAUUUGAGGCGUCGAGCCGUUCGGCGUCUACCUCCAUCGGUGCCGCGGUUUCGGUAACUGGCUCGGGUAUUUCCUGUGUCGUUGGUGGGGUGAGCUCGGAGAUGAAAUCGGCAAUGGCCUGACCUUUUCGGCUGGCCUUGGCACGAAUUGUAUAUCGAAUUCUCCGAGUUCAAUCGCCCACUUGAUCAAUCGGCCGGAAGUCUCUGGUUUUUGGAGUACUUGCCGAAGCGGUUGGUUUGUCAGGACAUUGAUCCCGUGUGCUUGGAAGUAUGGCCGAAGUUUUCGUGCCGAGAUCACCAGGGCUAGUGCAAGCUGCUCUAAUGGGGGAUAUCGAAGUUCAGCGCUCUGGAGUGCCUUACUGACAUAGAAGAUCGGUAGCUCUGCCCUCUCCGGUUUUCGGAUUAACACCGAACUGACGGCAGUGUUAGAUACCGAGAGGUAUAGGUAAAGAAUCUCCCCAGGCAGUGGUUUUGACAGGAGAGGUGCUCUGCCCAUAUAGUCUUUUAAGUCUUGAAAUGCUUUAUCACAUUCGGCAGUCCAUAAGAUAUUCUGUUUGCCCCCUUUCAAGGCUUUAAAGAACGGUACACAUUUGUCGGUAGCCUUGGAUAUAAAGCGAGUCAGGGCAGCCACUCGUCCGGUAAGGCUUUGGAUGUCCUUUGUUGUUUUUGGCCUCUCCAUGUCGAUGAUGGCCUUUAUUUUUUCGGGGUUCGCUUCGAUACCCCUGUGACUAAUCAUGAAUCUGAGGAAUUUCCCGGAAGACACACCGAAGGCGCAUUUCAUCGGGUUUAACCUCAUUCGGUAGCCCUUCAGGAUACCGAACAUGAUAGACAGAUUGUGCAGGUGUUCUUCGGCUGUUCUGCUUUUCACCAACAUGUCGUCAACGUAAACCUCCAUGAUGCUGCCGAUGUGUUCGGCGAAGAUUCUGUUGACAAGCCUCUGAUAUGUUGCCCCCGCGUUCUUCAAGCCGAACGGCAUGACGUUGUAGCAGUACAACCCUCUGUCAGUGAUGAAGGCGGUGUGCUCGCUGUCGGGGGGGUGCAUAAAAAUCUGGUUGUACCCUGAAUAGGCGUCCAUGAAGCUGAGCAGCUCGUGUCCUGCCGUGGCGUCCACGAGCUGGUCUAUUCGGGGUAACAGAAAGCUGUCCUUCGGGCAGGCCUUGUUCAGAUCGGUGUAGUCUUGGCACAUUCUCCAGCCGCCUGUACCCUUUCGAACCAUGACUGAGUUCGCCAGCCAUACCGGGUACGUAACUUCCCUGAUGAAGCCGAUGGUUUGAAGUUUGUCAACUUCCGUCCGCAUGGCUUCGUACCGUUCGGCAUCAUACAAACGGCGCUUCUGCCUUACAGGUUUGUAGGUUGGGGAAAUGCUGAGUUUAUGGCUGAUGAUUUCAGGGUCUAUGCCGGGCAUGUCUUCGUAGGACCAUGCGAACACUUCCGAAUGGUGCCGUAAGAAGUCUAUAAACUGCGCUCGGAGGGCGGGGGUCAGUCUGGUACCGAUUUUAACCCGACGAUCGGGCUGUUCAUCGCUCAGGGUUAUCGUCUCCAGUUCUUCGACGGGUUGCGUAUAAGGAGUUGGUGACUCAUCUCUUGGGUCGUCAACUGGUCCGUUGCCGUUCGGCAUCCCCUGCACAGACAUGGUCUUGUCUGGGAUUUUGAGAGAGGUUGAUUUGAUCGCCGUGGCGUAGCAAGUCCGUGCGCUCAGCUAAUUUCCCCUGACAGAUCCUACGCCAUUUGGGGUCGGGAAUUUCAUCAACAGCAUGUGUGGGGAAAGAUGCGCCUUUACCCUGGUCAGUGCCGUUCGCCCAACAAUGACGUUGUACGCCGUCGGGCAGUCAACGAUGAGGAACUUGUCAUAUACCGUCGUUCUCUUUGGCGCGGUGCCGAAGGUAAUUGGGAGCGUUACGCUACCGACCGGUUGGACCAUGUCCCCGGAGAAACUUAGCAAAGGCGUCAACUGCCGGUUGACCUGGCUGUCCUGUAUUCCCAUUUCUCGGAAAGCUUCGGCGAAGAUUACGUUUACCGAGCUCCCUGUAUCAAUCAGUACUCUCCCUACAUCGUAAUCGGCAAUUUCUGCUCGGACGAUCAUUGGGUCGUCGUGGGGACAGAGAAUGCCCUGUUCCUCUUCUUUGCAAAACGUGAUCGGCUCCCAAUGAUCCUUCGGUGUUUCAUGGUGGCGAUUCACCUCUAUGCCGAACACCUGGGGAAACUGUGCGGCACGCACGUACUGCUUCAUCGAGCGAUUGCUCAGUCCUGCGAUGGUUGGGCCGCCGCUGAUAGUGCUUAUCAUGUUUAUCUGCCGAUUUGCGUUCGGCUCCGGCGCCGUUGGCUGCCGGGCGAUAUACUGGUCUAGCUUCCCCUCUCGGAUCAAGCGUUCGACGAUCUUCCUCAGGCUUAUGCAGUCUUCUGUAUUAUGGCUGUUGUGCUGAUGGUAUCGGCAGAAUUUACCGGUAUCCCGGUUGUCUUGCCGAUUGGGCCUUCGUUGAUUCGGCUUGGGUAUUUUUUCCUGUUCGUUCAUCAGGACGGCCUCGUAGGUAGUAUUCAACAGGGUGAAGACCUCAUUGCCAUGAUCCCGAUUCGGCAGGGGGGCUCGGUUGUCGUUGCGACUGUACCUCCCUUUUUCUUUCUUUGGGUGCUCCCUUCGAUCUGCACGAUCAUCCUUCCUCUUAUGACCUGCCGAGUAGGUGUCGACUCGCUCAUAAGGCGUUGCCCUUGCCGGAUAGGCACUUGGUUCCGCAUUUCCUUGCGGUGCCGAAACCGUGGGUUUCGAGUUGAAGUAUUCGGCCUUGGCGUGGAUUGCUGCCUGCUUCAUCAGUUCAUCGUACGUGCGCCAGUUGCUACUGUGCACCAGGUAUCGAAAAUGAGAGGACCGAAGGCCACUCUUGAAGGCGCCGUAGGCUGCCCUAUCAUCCGUUUCCGGACACCUUGAGUACUCGUGACUGAAACGCGCCGCGUAUUCUCUCAACGGUUCGUCCUCCCUUUGCCGAAUCGUGUACAGAUCAUCGGCGGAGUAGAGACGGUCCGUUUGGAUUAUGAAGUGAUUGAGGAAGAUCUGCUUCAGCUCAUCAAAGGAUGCUACCGUUUCCGGCUCUAAACGGUAGAACCAGUUCAAGGCUGCCCCGGUAAGGGAAGACGGGAAUAGCAGGCACUGCCCCUCAUCGCUCAAGCCCUUGCAUCCAAUAGCGGACUGGAAUGAAUGGAGGUGUGUCAAAGGGUCCUCCGUUCCUGUGUAGAACGUUAUACGCAGUUGCUGCACUUCCCUGUCUUGCCGAGAAUCCCGGAUGCGCCUUGUGAACGGUCCGGGCCGAAGCUUUCCCCAUUCCGGUUCUUGGGAGCGCGCAUUGUCGUUUUCCAUUUUCUGGACCUUCUGAAAAAGGAGUCGGAUCAUGGGGUCUCGGCUAGGGACUUCUUCGGAACCGUAAUCUUCCGAUUGUCUUUGUAGGUUUAGUGAAUUAUCCCCCGCAUACCGCGAUGGUGUUUCCGAACGGUAGUCGGGGGGAAGUGUCUUGGAAGGGAUGUACUCGGACUCCGAAGACUCGGCGGGGCCCAAUCCCCUGACCUUCCGAAUAGGCGACUUAUCCCCUAGGUUAUUCAUCCGUGAUUCCCUUAUUCGAGCGCCAAUCCUGAUCGGUGACCCCUCUCUCUCUGGCUCCCGAUCGUUAGUGCGAUGCUCCCGGUCGUUAAUCCGAUGUCGGCAAUCGGUGUAGACCUUCCUUGGGAUGUGCGGCUGAUCCCGGGGUGCCGGAACCACUAACUCUCUGGAAGGUGCGGGCGUUGCCUUCGCUACCUUCGCGCGUUUGUUCUUCCCGCGGGGGUUCUGCAAGCUCUCGGAAGAGCGAGUUGUCUGUAUGUUCUGCGGUUGCUGCUGGUGAAGCAACUGCUGGGUUUCGUCCACUUUGGACGAAAGGAAGUUGUUGUGUUCCUGAAGCCUCGCCAUGUCCUUCCGUAAGGAUGCGAUUUGGGCUGCCAUCUCGACUUCGGCAGCCGUUUGGGUAGCGGGGGCAUUUCCGAAGGGAGUGUUGGAGGUAGCGCUGGGCUAGCUCCGCUCUGCCUUCCGAACGGUACCCCCUCUUCCGCUAGGAACGUUUGUUUUGAAGUGGUCCCCAUGUGCUUAGGGGAUUGUGGGUUGAUGAUUUUUUGGUUUCCCACAGACGGCGCCAAACUGUUGAUGCGAAAAAGUGGUUUGAUACGUAAUUCGUCAACUUAGUCAAAAUGUCCCUUCGGUAGGUCCCCGUCCUUGGUAAGUGGUCCACUCCAGAGGGUCAAGUACCUGCAAAAGGACGCGUUCGGUAAAUCCUUGGGGUACCGGUGCGGUAUCGGCCGAAGGCUCUCCGAUGCCUAAAUGAGUACGGAUUUAGUAAGGUUAACUGACAGAUCACACGAUAGCGUACCGUUAGUUCUUCUUCUUCCCUUUUGGGGAUAUGGGUCUCCUUAUAUAGACCUUGGGAGGUGUGCUUUGUGCUCAUUUUUCCGAUGUGGGACUCCAGGCAUGGAUUGUGAACAUGACACGUGUCUGUUGGUAAAAAGGGCCAAGAUAUAUAGCUUCGGUAGUGAGCAUGCCGUAGGGGCCCUGUGAUCAGAGUGGAUCCUGUCCACGUGUCCGGUGGAAAUAGGCCGUUUAAUUAGGUAUAAACACCUGGUAAGGAAUAAGCAUGGCUAUUUACGAAACUAUAAUAUGAACAACACUGAGAAACACAAGUAUGGCCAUUUCAAACAGACUACAAAUAACUUCGUAUUCCAACAAUGAAUCAACAGCACCCAUGGCCAUAUACGUUUGCAGCAUCUGAAGGUAGAUCAUCUAAUUAAUGUUAGAAGGAUAAUAGUUUCUAAAGUUCUUUAUUAAAAAAAUCAAUAGACAACCACCAGAGACAAAUUUUGUUUUGGAGAAGAUGAUUAUUCUCAAUUCUUGACAGCUGCAUAAUGCUAAAAUAUGAAUAUGGUUUGAAUACUUUACUUUAGGUUAGUUGUAUUCUUCUUCAUAAAGAGGUAUAUAUGAGUUUACAAGGUGCUUUAUAAGGAAAUAGAUACAGUUAAUUACCAUGGUAUACAAAGUGACUUAGAGACAAAAACUCAGAGACCGACUUGACUUUCACCAUGCGGCUUCUGGAAGUGCAAAUGAACCAUGCACAAGACUUUUAGAGUGAGCUCUUUGGACGUGGACUUGUUAAAACAUGAAAGGUUUUGUGUUGAUUUUUCUCAAUCAUACAAUCCGUUAAUAUACAAAUUUAUGUACACGAACACUACUAAGGAAUGCAAAGACUUUAAGAUCAUACAAACUACAAGUACUUGUUGAGAGUAUUUAGUCCAUGUUUUUUUUUUAAAAAAAUGCAGACAUUCAUUUUGUAUUUUAUUUUCCGUUCAUGUUUUUUUAUGGUUUAUCAAACUCAUAUAAAUAUGAUACAUAAAGCAAAAAAUAGAGAGAGAAUAGUAAAACAUUCAAAAAAUUAAAAAUUGUUCUUACUUCAUUUUUUUUUGUUGGAAUGCAUUUAUUACACAUUGAAACUUUUCAUUAAAUAAGCAUAAUAUAGUAAAUAUAUAUAUAUAUAUAUAUAUUAGAUGGGGACCUAUUUUCUUGGGACACAACUUGACAGGACCCGAUCCAAAUUCCACUUUGGAAUCCGAGCCAUACCCUGUGUGUGUCCGACACUUGGCGAAUGUCGUUUUCCGGCGAGCUCCGGCCACGGAAACUCCGACGAAGGGUCAGAAAAUGACGGCGGUCGAGUGGUGGUUCGUUUGGUACCAACGGCGGAGAUCGGCUCCAAGCGUGGUGGCCGUGGCGACGAUGAGAAGGGAGGAAGGUCGGCUGGCGCGGGCUGAUCGGGAGGAGAGAGAGAAAAGAGAGAAAUUGAUGGGGGAAGAAAGAGAGAGAGAGAGAAACAGGUUUUAUAAAUCUAAUUUUCCAAUUUACCAUUUUCCCCCUCAUGAUAUUUUAAUCGUAUUGUCUUCAUGAAAAUUCCGAUUUGAGCUUACUUCGUGUCUAUGAACUCGUGUCGUCGUGCUCUACGGAACGGUGUAUGGGGAAUUGUCAAAUUCCUUUUCGGUCAAAAAGUCAACUUUGAGUUCAUAAGGUAGUCAAAGGGCAAAAUUGUCUUUCCGUAUAAUAAAUUACUCAUUAAAUAUGAAUUUUAGGUUUGGGUCAUUACACAACUUCUUUAUCUUUUUUUUUAGUUGGAUUCUUAAUUCUUAAAUUAAAAAAACGAAAAUAAAAAACCAAUUGGCACCAAGGUAGUAUAUAUGAAACAUCGUCAGAAAUUAAAUUUUUUUUUUUUUGAAAUGUUCAUAAAAACAAACAAACAAAAAUAUAUACAUACAUUAACAAAAAAAAUAAUUUUCAAAAUAAAUGCACAGUGCCCAAGGAAACUCCUUAUAUAAUGUAUGUCUCUUGAAAAUUGUCAACAAAUCCGCUGUAGCAAUACUUACAAAUGGAUAAUUGUAAUCCGGGUUCGAAUCCCGACAGUGGAAUUCUUUUUAAGUUAGAUGUAUGACAGGAUUCGCCCCAAAUUCCUCGGAACCCGAAAUGAAUCCUGUGAAAUUCCGACAUCACCCCGAUGCCGGGCCCACUUAUUAAAGACCAAGACUUUCUACCAAAAUUUUGGCAGAGUCUCCCCUGUAAUUUGAACAAUCCCAAAAAUUUCAACAUGCAUAAAAUACAUGUCAUAUCCCAACAAGCAGCACGCACAAUAUAAUUUCAUGCAAUUCACAAACUCGACCUUAGGCCCUCACAUGAACCGAAGCGAAACCAAACUACCAACAAAGCCCUUACGCCAAAAAUAUUGCCUUAAUAUGGUAUAACAACACCCUUAAUUCAUCUCUCUAUACGCCUGAAAUUCCAACGCUACGUAUGAGGUCUGUCUCAACGCCGAAAAAUCCUACGCCACGCGAGACCUAACAAAUCACAUAAUCUCCUCAUACGCCGAAAAUUCUAACGCCACAUAUGGGGUCUGUCAUCAUUGAUUUAGGAUAUUAUCUUGAGAGAUAUUAUCAUCAAUUAGUGAUUUAAUCCCAAUCAAAUUGUUAAUUGACUUAAUCUCUCCAUUUAAGGGAAAAAAUAUCUUCCUUCAAAAUAAGAAGAUAUUCGUUGAAAAUCUCUUCAUUUAGGUAAUUCUGAAACGUAGCAAGAAUUCCCCAAAACCUCUCUCUCUCUCUCUCUCUCUCUCUCUCUCUCUCUCUCUCUCUCUCUCUCUCUCUCUCUCUCUCUCUCUCCGCCCUAGCCGACGGCCUCUCUCACUCUUAUCUCUCACACACGGCCAAGUGCCACCACACACGGCUUUGGCCACUCGACUCUCCCCGUGAGAAAAAGCUCCGUACCAUUUUUAGCUAUUGCAACAUAUUUUCUCCUAUUGCCACAUAUUUUCUCAAAGAUCCAAUCGAACUAACUUAGGCAUCGGAGAGAUUUUGACGAACACCUACCAGGUGUGGUUUUUUACUCUUGUUUGUUUCGCAGUAACCGAGCAAGAGAGAGAAGGAAGCUCAAAAAGUGAAAGAUCCACAUGCGAAUAUUCUUCCUUGAGAAAUUUGCAUAAACAGAAGACGUGUGACAUAUUCUUGGUUCAAAAAUAUCCAUCCGAAACAAGGAAAAAAUUGUAAAACCAAACUUAAGAAAUUAUACCUCUAUUCUGGUCAGCAUGAAUGGAUAUGUCCAAACAAAUUUUAAUCCAACAAGAAAAAUCAGAGGAGAAGGUUUAGGGUUUCACAAACAGAUCUACCAAGUAAAACGAAUUAACAUAUGAUAUGGGCAAAAUAAAGAAAUGAGACCAAGAUAAAACUUCUAGAAAGGUGACAAAUUGUCCUUUGAAGUAAUUUUACGUAAGCAUAACAAUUCGAAAUAAAAGAUAAACAAACAAAAAUCCUAUGAAUGGAUGGGACGAGGAAAAUUGAAGCUGACAAUAAAGGUUACUAACUUACUUGGGAUGUAUCCAAAGAAAAAAAAAAACAUGAAGGGAAAUACUAGUUUUCCUUCCUUGUUUUACUUUUCUCCCUCAUUAAUUGUACUUGGCUUUAGCUCCAUGCAUCUUCUCCUCCUUCACGGCAGCUUGGCCCAUCAAUCACGCUAUGAAAACGGCAUUUUUCCAUUUCUUCCAGUCUGGCUACUUUGACAUUUCUUGGGUUUCAUUAUCUAAAUUAAUAUCUAGUACUUGUUUUUUUAUGUACUCGUGCCAAUAUUCAAAGUACCUGCUAUCAUAAAUAAACCUAUGUAAACAGGGACUAAACGUUUAUGGCCCGUUUCCUAGUGUUGAUGACCUAUCAUCUAAUGUUUGAGUUUAAUCCAAAUCUCUCUAGAAGUUUUUUUUUUUUCCUUUCUCUAUGAGGGUUCAAACGUGACACAUCUCGUAACUCGUCUAUAAGUUAAAGUCAAUUUCUAUUGCGCUAGAGACCCUAUUGGCCUCUAAAAGAUCUUUUAGUUACUUCUUUAUCCAAUUGAUCACUUUUUCUACUUUAAUUUUUCUGGAUUGAAUUUGAAUUUUCUGUAAUAUAUAUUUUUUUGGGAUAAUGUAAACAGGGGACUUCACUUCAUUGCAGGUCAAUGACGAUAUCUAGGAACAAUCCAUCAGUCUAGGACCAAACAUUAUGAGUCAUUUGUUAGUUUCCUCAGGGUCCUGUUUACGUGUUGCCAUGGCAGCUUAGACCCGUAAUCAAAAUCGCAAGAAAAGAUCAAAAGUUAGGCACGCUACAAGCCCUAUAUAAAGCACCCCCUGGCACCCAAGUUUAUCAUCAUCCUCCUCACCAAAUUACAAAUUAAUUAAGUUUAUCAGCAACAGCAAGCCAAUUAAGACAUUUCCAAGACGAUGAUGAAGAGCCAAGCAGCUCUCCUCGGCCUCACCACCUUGGCCAUCCUCUUCUUCUCAGGUAUAAUAUUAUACAAACUUUGUUAGUCGAUCAGAUAUCGAUCAAAAGUUUAUUUUUACAAUUGUCUCUGUAAUCUGUUUUCUUAUGAUCACGUUGAAUAUGCAGGUGCACAUGCAGCUAAAAUCACUUUCACAAACAAAUGUUCCUACACUGUCUGGCCAGGAACCCUAACCGGUGACCAAAAACCUCAAUUAUCACUCACCGGGUUCGAGUUAGCAACCGGAAUUAGCAACUCUGUGGACGCUCCGUCCCCGUGGUCCGGUCGCUUCUUUGGCCGAACCAGGUGCUCCACGGACGCGUCAGGAAAGUUCACUUGUGCCACAGCAGAUUGUGGCUCUGGCCAAGUCUCAUGCAACGGUAACGGCGCAGUUCCGCCAGCUACAUUAGUAGAAAUCACUAUUGCUGAGAACGGGGGUCAAGAUUUCUACGAUGUUAGUCUUGUUGACGGCUUCAACUUGCCCAUGUCCGUGGCUCCACAAGGCGGCACCGGAGAGUGUAAGGCCUCAACUUGCCCUGCCGAUAUUAACAAAGUGUGCCCGGCUGAGUUACAAGUGAAGGGAUCUGAUGGAAGCGUAAUUGCGUGCAAGAGCGCUUGCUUAGCAUUAAACCAGCCACAAUACUGUUGCACUCCCCCUAACGACAAGCCGGAGACAUGCCCUCCCACUGACUACUCUAAGCUCUUCAAGACCCAGUGCCCUCAAGCUUAUAGCUAUGCUUAUGAUGACAAGAGCAGCACCUUCACAUGCAGUGGUAGACCUGACUACCUCAUCACAUUCUGCCCAUAAGCAUACAUAUAUAUAUAAUGGGAUCUUAUAUGUUAUGACAUUAUACAUAUAGUUCCCAAUAACAGAGAAGAAUAAAUAAAUUUCCUGGAUCUUGACACAUUGUUGAUGUCAAGAAUUUGUAAUGCAGACGAUCAAAUAAAGGUAUAAAUGUUUGGAUUUUAUUUUCAUUCAUUUCCUUAUACGUGCAUUAUUUCCAGCAACAAAGCAUGAGAAUAAUAUAAAGAGAGUUAGCUGCAAACUGAAAUGGUUAUCAAACGGGAGUUUAAAUACGGAUUGUAAUUUUCUGUCAUGGCUGGUAAGGAAUAAGCAUGGCCAUUUACGAAACUAUAAUAUGAACAACACUGAGAAACACAAGUAUGGCCAUUUCAAACAGACUACAAAUGACUUCGUAUUCCAACAAUGAAUCAACAGCACCCAUGGCCAUAUGCGUUUGCAGCAUCUGAAGGUAGAUCAUCUAAUUAAUGUUAGAAGGAUAAUAGUUUCUAAAGUUCUUUAUUAAAAAAUCAAUAGACAACCACCAUGACUGUUUUGGGAAAUUAGAGACAAAUUUUGUCUUGGAGAAGAUGAUCACUUCUCAAUGCUUGACGGCUACAUAAUGCUAAAAUAUGAAUAUGGUUUGAAUACUUUAUUUUAGGUUAGUUGUAUUCUUCUUCAUAAAGAAGUAUAUAUAGGAGUUUGUUUUACAAGGAAAUAGAUACAGUAAAUCACCAUGGUAUACAAGGUGAUCACUUAGAGACAAAAAUUGAAAUGGUUCCCAAAGCCUUCCCUUAGCAAGCAGGUACCAUUGCAAGAAUGGUUCCAUAGUCAAUAAUGACAAGACCCGCAAGGAUGAUCUCGAAUUUAUAUGCAUGUUUUAAUUUCAUGGGCCUGUUGUUCUUCUACUACAGUAAUUAGAAUUUGUUUACAAGUGUGAAUUUUCCCAGAGCAAUUUCAGGGACCGACUUGACUUUCACCAUGCGGCCUCAGGAAGUGCAAAUGAACCCCGCACAAGACUUUUAGAGGGAGCUCUUUGGACGUGGACUUGUUAAAACAUGAAAGGUUUUUGUGUUGAUUUUUCUGAAUCAUACAAUCCGUUAAUAUACAAAUUUAUAUACACGGAGACUACUAAAGAAUGUAAAACUUUAAGAUCAUACAAACUACAAGUACUUGUUGAGAGUAUUUAGUCCAUGUUUUUUUUUUUUUAAUCCAGACAUUCAUUUUGUAUUUUAUUUUUUUUAUCGUUUAUCGAACUCAUAUAAACAUGAUAUAUAAAGCAAAAAGUAGAGAGAGAAUAGUAAAACAUUCAAAAAAGCAAAAAUUGUCCUUGCUUCAUAAUUUUAUUUCUUUGUUGGAAUGAAUUUAUUACGCAUUAAUUAAACUUUUCAUUAAAUAAGCAUAAUAUAGUAAAUUAAUAUAUAUAUAUUUUUUAAAAUGGGGACCUAUUUUCAUGAGAUACUUCUUCUUCUUCUUUUUUUUUUUUUUUGUUAGAUUCUCUUUCUUAAUUCUUAAAUUCAAAAAAUGAAAAUAAAAAACCAAUUGGCACCAAGGUAGUAUAUGUGAAACAUCGUCGGAAAUUUAAUUGUUUUUUAUUGAAAUGUUCAUAAAAACAAACUAACAAAAUAUAUACAUACAUUAGAAAAAAAAAAAUUUGUUUCAAAAUAAAUGCACAGUGCCCAAGGAAUCUCCUUAUGUAACUUAUGUCUCUUCAAAACUGUAAAAAAAAAAAUCCGCUAUAGCAAUACUCACAAGUGGAUAAUUGUAAUCCGGGUUCGAAUUCCGGCAGUAGAAUUCUUUUUAAGUUAGAUGUAAAUGUGAUCCAUUUUAUAUCAGUUAUAAUAGUUGUCGUAAUGAGCUUCUUUUUAAGUCUCUGUUUAUAUAGCAGCUUCUUCCCUAACUUGAGUAGAAUCCAAUUUGCGGCUAAGAUCACUUAAGAUGCAAGACUUUUAGUCACAAAGUAAAUAUUCCUAUUUCAGUCCUUGUCAAAACUUUGGCAAAAAAAAAAAGAAAAAUGAUUCCUAUCAAAACAUAGAGCAUCCACAAUGGGAGGGUGUAUAUGAGGGUGUAUGUUAAAUAUACAUCCCUUGUCACCGGAAUCAUCUGCAAUGGGGAGAUGAAAAGGGUUGUAAAUAUACAUCACCACCAUGGAGAUGUAAAAAAAUGUACAUUUACAUCUAUUUUUACAUCUUUUGCAAGUGGGACCCACCCGAAAAAAGAGAAGAAAAAUGAAGAAAAGUCAGCAUAAAAGGCUGGGACCCGCGGCUACAGUAAUUGCUAGAAAAAAAAAAUCACAUGUUGUUUGCUUAUUUGUGGUUUUCAUGCUCCCCCAAUGUUUUUGGAUGAUCAUAUCUUCUCCGAAUUUCAAUAUUUUUAGGGCUAUUUGUUUGAAAAAUUAAAAUUAACCUCAUACAAAAAAAAAUUAAUUUUAUAAAGUAAACACAAAAUACAAAUUUAACACAAAAACGAAUUAAGAAAAAUAAAACAAUUACACAUCUUAGAUUUACAUCUUCUCCUAUUGGAGCCAAAAACGUAUUUACAUCCCCUGGAGGUGUAAAGGGGAUGUAAAAGUGGCUUUACACCCCCGAAUUUACGCCCCUUACUGUGGAUGCUCUCAGUGCAUAUGAUGUACAGAUAAUUCACCAAAAAAAAAAAAAAAGGAAAUUAGUAUUGACAGUAUUCCACAUGGGAAGAUGGAAACGUUGUAAUAUAGUGCUUAAACUUCUCCACCUAUUGUCAAUUAUUUUUACGUUGAAUGCUGAUAUCUUAAAGAUAACGCUACUCAAUCAGGUUCUUAUUUGACUCUCAACAUUGAAAAAUGCAUUACAAACUAAAGUUCAUUUUAUCGUGGAAUAUAUAUAUUUUUUCAUGGACCCUGAAAUUUAGAAAACAAUUAAAAAGGCAAAAAAGAAAAAGAAAAAUAGGCAAUUUAGGGUCCUUUCAGUAAUGUUUUCGGAGAAUAUAUUCAGAAAAUGAAAAUGAGAAAACGAAUAUACAUUUUCAAGAUUCGAGAAUGCAUAUGGUAGACUAAGUAAAUAUUUUUCGAGAACGAAAACAGUAAAAACGUGUCUAAUACGAACAUAUGAAAAUGACAAAAAUACUGAAUUGGCAACAGUAUUAUAAAAAUUAUUUUCAACAUCAUAAAUCAAAUAUUGUGUGUAGCACAUAUCUUAUCAGACUUACUAAUAGGCCAAAAAAUUUCUUAAAAAUUGUGCAAUGGUCUAAUUAAUUAUCAUUAUCCAAUACAUGCUAGAUAACCCAAAAUGGGCUCAUGUCCUCCAAGAUAUCAUCCUACAUCAUAGAUCAAAUCUCUUAUAGUCUCACAAAUAUUUGAAAAAUAUGCAAAAUAAAAUUUAAAAUCAUGUUGUCAUGAGCACUAAAUAAAACCCCACCAUAAAUUUGCUGCGAUAUAUUGUCUCUAAUGUCGCCUAUUUGUGCAAUAUUUCCUUUUGACAUAUCUAUAUUCGGUGGUAUUGUAUUUUUUGAGUCAAUGAUCAUGUCUUCAACUUGGAACUCUUCGAUCAUCCUAUCACGACCAACUUCUUUUCUUAUAAAAUUAUGCAACACACAACAUACAAUAGGAACUCAUUGUUGCCUUCUCGGAGGAUAAUUAGGCAUCAAUUUCAAAAUUAGAAAAAGAGCUUUCAAAACACCAAAACAUCGCUCAAUUACAUUACAUAAUGAGGAGUGCCUAUAGCUCAACAAUUCCAUAGGACCUCUUGGUGUUUGUCGAGGUCCUCUAUCAUCACGCAAAUGAUAUCUCUCACCUCGAUAGGGUGCCAAGAAUUCAGGCACUUUUGAAUAUCCAACAUCCACAACAAUACCCUGUAAUUGUAAUUUAUUACUUGCAAGACACAAAUAAUGUACAUAAUAAUAUUAAUUGUAAUCUUAUGUUUAUACCUUCUUCUGGAAAAGGAAACUCUCAUUUUCUGGCCUUAUCACUGCAUCUAUGAACACCCUAGAGUCAUUUGCAGUUCCUUCCCAGCCCGUAUAAACAAAAGUGAACAUCAUGUCCAAAGAGCAAGCACACAUGGCCUUUUGAGUAAUAAGAAUCUUCCUACCAUGAUAUGAGGUUUGCUUUUGAGUUGGUGCCUAAGCAACAACAUGAGUUCCAUCAAUUGCACUAACACACUUCUGCGAUAAAUUCAUAUAUUUACAAACUAUAAAGUAAAUAUAAUUUAAAAUAUAUAAUUAUAAUAAUAAAAUAAAUAAAAUUAACAAUUGAUUUCUCACCUCAAAAUAAGGAUAAUACUUUAGGUUAUUCAAAAUUUCAGAAGGUGUUUCCUCUCGACUUUGUGGCCUUAUAAUACGUGGUGCUAAAGCACAUAAAGCUCCCAAAACACACUAAAAUUGUCUAUGAAUUGUGUCUUUAGAUCGUUGGAAAUGAUCAACAGCCAGUCACAUGCAGAUAUUAUGAGACACUAUAAAUAUGAAAAUUGCCAUUGCCUUAUAAGUACCCACAUUUCUAUCAUUCUGUGGCAAAUUUAAACUCUCAAGUGUGUAACGCAACCUUUGGAAUACAUGUUUGUACAUGUGAAACGAGUCUUAAAUCCUAUCUGCUGGAUGCCCAUUCAAACAUAUUCAUGCUCGGAUAAAACAGAAUUAUGACAUGGAGUUCUAUGUACAUAUGAUUGCCAAUAUUCAUAAAUAUGCAUACAAAUUAUCAUAUGAUGCACCAUUUCCUUCGGAUCUGAAUCACUAUCGGAGUGAUUGUCUUCAUUCCUUAUAGACAUGUCUAGUACCUUCAAGUAUUCAAAUUCAAUAAAGAAUUAUGCAUACAAAUUAAAGUCACAAAAAUCUAAAAUAUGCAUACAAAUUAAAGUCACAAACAUCAAACAGAAUAAGAAGAACAAUUCAUUAGUAUUCUCUCAACAAUAAACAUAAGUAGCAAUCCUAAAGACUAGCCAACCAAACUCUCCUCCUUUCUUCUGGCAUUAUAACAAAGAUUUUCCUCCAUUCAACAAUCACUAUCUUUUCUAGCAUCUUGUCGAUGUAUUGUUAUCAAUAUCUCCCAUUGUCUCAACAAUUCCUAUGCAUUCUUCAAUCGAAUACAUUUCCUUAGAGGUGCUAGAUGCCUCAAGCAAUGGCCACAGCAGCAAGCAACAACAGCAACAAUAGAAGCUACUCUGCCAUCUUCUGCCGCUUCCAUCUGUCUAGCCGUCAUGUCACGACGACAACCCGCAAACAAAAAGAAAAAGAAAAAGGCCACGCUAGCCGCCGCUACCAUCGAUACCGAUCAUGACAACAACUAACCGGGCCCACCUAGUUGGUACUCAUGUCGAAGAAGAAAAGAAGAAGAAAAAAAAAUCAAAUUCGAUUUACCUUGGGGUGUACGGCAACUCCUCUCUUCAACAAGCAGUACAAUUCUCCAAGAUCUCUCUCAAACUAGAAAGCAAAGAAGACAAGUUUUCAAUUUGAAGAAGAGCGAAAAGAAGCUUUGUAUUUAUAAAGAUUGGGCAUCCUAGGUCAAGAAGGAAGCACGAGUUCAUUUCCAUUAGGAGCUCAACUCAAGAAAAAGUCAAAAGCCUACUCCAAUUAGGAGCCCAAUUGGCAAAAGGAUUCCAACUCAAAGAAGAAAGCCCAAAUGCAGUUGGAAAGCCCGAAAAGUAUUUCUCACCUCCUCUACACCUCACAAGCGCCAUGCAAAAGUUGGGGGACAUUUGUGGGAGAAAAUAAUCAAGUUUCCAAUCAUAAGGUGCCACAUGGACAAGAAGAAUAUCUCCUAUGUCAAUUAAUUGAGCCCAUUUAUUUGGCUAAUUAGUUGAUCUAAAAAUAGGGAUAUUAUCUUAAAUAUGGGAUAUUAUCUUUAUUUGGGAAUAUAAUUACCAAUUAAAAGAUAAUAUCAUCAAUUUAGGAUAUUAUCUUAAUUGGGAUAUAUUAUCAUCAAUCAAUGAUUUAAUCCCAAUCAAAUUCUUAAUUGACUUAAUCUCUCCAUUUAGGGGAAAAAAUAUCUUCCUUCCAAAUAAGAAGAUAUUCUUUGAAAAUCUCUCCAUUUAGGUAAUUCCGAAACCUAGCAAGAAUUCACCAAAACCUCUCUCUCUCUCGCCGACGGCCUCUCUCACUCUUAUCUCUCUCACACGGCCAAGUGCCACCACACACGGUUCUGGCCCCCUGACUCUCCCCCGGAGAGAAAGCUCUGUACCUUUUUAGUUAUUGCCACAUAUUUUCUCAAAGAUCCAAUCGAACUAACUUAGGCAUCCGAGGGACUUUGGCCAACAACUUCCGGAUAUAGUUUUUUACUCAUGUUUGUUUCGUAGGAACGAGGAAGAGAGAGAAGAAAGCUCAAAAGGUGAAGGAUCUACAUGCGAAUACUCUUCCUUGAGAAAUUUGCAUAAACAGAAGAAGUGUGACAUAUUCUUAAUUCAAAAAUAUCCAUCCGAAACAAGGAAAAAAUUGUAAAACUAAACUUAUGAAAUUAUACCUCUAUUCUGGUCAGCAUGAAUGGAUAUGUCCAAACAAAUUUUAAUCCAAAAAGAAAAAUCAGAGGUGAAGGUUUAGGGUUUCACAAACAGAUCUACUAAGUAAAACGAAUUAACAUAUGAUAUGGGCAAAAUAAAGAAAUGAGACCAAGAUAAAACUUCUAGAAACGUGACAAAUUGUCCUUUGAAGUAAUUUUACGUAAGCAUAACAAUUCGAAAUAAAAGAUAAACAAAUAAAAAAUCCUAUGAAUGUGGAUGGGACGAGGAAAAUUGAAGCUGACAAUAAAGGUUACUUGGGAUAUAUCCAAAGAAAAAAAAAGAAGAGAAAUACUACUUUUCCUUCCUUGUUUUACUUUUCUCCCUCAUUAAUUGUACUUAGCUUUAGCUCCAUGCAUCUUCUCCUCCUUCACAGCAGCCUAGGCCAUCAAUCACGCUAUGAAAAUGGUUACGUGGCGCACGCCUGGUUGUGUAUGGACUGUUUUUCAAAAUCACGAGUGUUCUUAAUCAACGUUUUAAUUUGAUAUGGUUGGCAAUUUUCCAAUUCUCCCAGUCUUGCUACUUUGACUAAAUUAAUAUCUACUUGUUUUUUUAUGUUUGCAAGUAAUAUGUACUCGUGCCAGUAUUCAAAGUACCUGCUAUUACAAAUAAACCAAUGUAAACAGGGACUAAGCGUUUAUGGCCCGUUUCCUAGUAUUGAUGACCUAUCAUCUAAUGUUUGGGUUUAAUCCAAAUCUCUCUAGAAGUUUUUUUUAUUUUUUUUUUAUUUUUUUAUGAGGGUUCAAAUGUGACACCACUUGUCUACAAGUUAAGGUCAUUUUCUAUUGCGCUAGAGACUCUAUUGGCCUCUAAAAAAUCUUUUAGUUACUUCUUUAUUAAUGUAUACACGUGACUAGAGACCAUCUAAUAGUUAUCACAUUUUCCAUUUACAUGUGUGUCUGUGACUAAGCUAACAAUUGUAACUAUAUAUGUUUAUCCAAUUGAUCACUUUUUCUACACUUAUCUACAUGUGUGUCUGGCCUAUAUGAUGACUUUAAUUUUUCUGGAUUGAAUUUGAAUUUUCUGUAAUAUAAAUUUUUUGGGAUAAUGUGGGGACUUCAUUGCAGGUCAAUGACGUUAUCUAGGACCAAAUAUUACGAGUAAUUUAUUAGUUUCCCCAGGGUCCUGUUUACGUGUUACCAUGGCAGCUUAGACCCGUAAUCAAAAUAGCAAGAAAAGAUCAAAAGUUAGGCACGCUACAAGCCCUAUAUAAAGCACCCCCUGGCACCCAAGUUUAUCAUCAUCCUUCUCACCAAAUUACAAGUUAAUUAAGUUUAUCAGCAAGAGCAACAGCAAGCCAAUUAAGACAUUUCCAUGACGAUGAUGAAGAGCCAAGCAGCUCUCCUCGGCCUCACCACCUUGGCCAUCCUCUUCUUCUCAGGUAUAAUAUUAUACAAACUUUGUUAGGUGAUCAGAUAUCGAUCAAAAAGUUUAUUUUUACAAUUGUCUCUGUAAUCUUUAGUCUUAUGAUCAUGGUUUAAUGUACUUUGAAUAUGCAGGUGCACAUGCAGCUAAAAUCACUUUCACAAACAAAUGUUCCUACACUGUCUGGCCAGGAACCCUAACCGGUGACCAAAAACCUCAAUUAUCACUCACCGGGUUCAAGUUAGCAACCGGAAUUAGCCGCUCUGUGGACGCACCGUCCCCAUGGUCCGGUCGCUUCUUUGGCCGAACCAGGUGCUCCACGGACGCGUCAGGAAAGUUCACUUGUGCCACAGCAGAUUGUGGUUCUGGCCAAGUCUCAUGCAACGGUAACGGCGCAGCUCCGCCCGCUACAUUAGUAGAAAUCACUAUUGCUUCGAACGGGGGUCAAGACUUCUACGACGUUAGUCUUGUUGACGGCUUCAA